This 255-nucleotide ribosomal RNA is filed under the name Escherichia coli. RNAcentral describes it as "partial 16S ribosomal RNA". It matches the Rfam family "Bacterial small subunit ribosomal RNA", at positions 899 to 1154 of the family's 1533-position model. Lineage: Bacteria; Pseudomonadati; Pseudomonadota; Gammaproteobacteria; Enterobacterales; Enterobacteriaceae. The record is from RNAcentral. RNAcentral also lists the same sequence under 1 other name.
ACUCAAAUGAAUUGACGGGGGCCCGCACAAGCGGUGGAGCAUGUGGUUUAAUUCGAUGCAACGCGAAGAACCUUACCUGGUCUUGACAUCCACAGAACUUUCCAGAGAUGGAUUGGUGCCUUCGGGAGCUGUGAGACAGGUGCUGCAUGGCUGUCGUCAGCUCGUGUUGUGAAAUGUUGGGUUAAGUCCCGCAACGAGCGCAACCCUUAUCCUUUGUUGCCAGCGGUCCGGCCGGGAACUCAAAGGAGACUGCCA